RNAcentral lists this ribosomal RNA (537 nucleotides) under uncultured Alphaproteobacteria bacterium. Its description in RNAcentral is "bacterial SSU rRNA". It matches the Rfam family "Bacterial small subunit ribosomal RNA", at positions 341 to 896 of the family's 1533-position model. Lineage: Bacteria; Pseudomonadati; Pseudomonadota; Alphaproteobacteria. The record is from RNAcentral.
ACGGGAGGCAGCAGUGGGGAAUCUUGGACAAUGGGCGCAAGCCUGAUCCAGCCAUGCCGCGUGAGUGAUGAAGGCCUUAGGGUCGUAAAGCUCUUUCGCCAGAGAUGAUAAUGACAGUAUCUGGUAAAGAAACCCCGGCUAACUCCGUGCCAGCAGCCGCGGUAAUACGGAGGGGGUUAGCGUUGUUCGGAAUUACUGGGCGUAAAGCGUACGUAGGCGGAUUAGUCAGUCAGAGGUGAAAUCCCAGGGCUCAACCCUGGAACUGCCUUUGAUACUGCUAGUCUUGAGUUCGAGAGAGGUGAGUGGAAUUCCAAGUGUAGAGGUGAAAUUCGUAGAUAUUUGGAGGAACACCAGUGGCGAAGGCGGCUCACUGGCUCGAUACUGACGCUGAGGUACGAAAGUGUGGGGAGCAAACAGGAUUAGAUACCCUGGUAGUCCACACCGUAAACGAUGAAUGCCAGUCGUCGGGCAGUAUACUGUUCGGUGACACACCUAACGGAUUAAGCAUUCCGCCUGGGGAGUACGGUCGCAAGAUUA